This is a non-coding RNA of Aphanomyces astaci, 112 nucleotides long. The record is from Rfam. NCBI's taxonomy places the organism in Eukaryota, Oomycota, Saprolegniomycetes, Saprolegniales, Verrucalvaceae.
UCCCGCAGAGUUAAUUUCAUUCGUACUAAUCUUUCGCCUUUUACUAAAGAUUACCGUGGAAUUGACUCGACUCGAUGCGGCUUCAAAAAUUUAUGACCUCCCUUUGGGAGGA